RNAcentral lists this long non-coding RNA (3887 nucleotides) under Sus scrofa (pig). RNAcentral describes it as "lncRNA (ENSSSCG00000063174.1)". The record is from RNAcentral. Lineage: Eukaryota; Metazoa; Chordata; Mammalia; Artiodactyla; Suidae.
AAACUGAGGCACCGUGAGCUUAAGCUACCUGGAUGGUGCCGACCAGCUUGACCUGAGAGCCUCCAUUUCCCAGAGGCCUCUGCUCCGUAAAGCUGCACGUGACAACAGACCCCACUGCUAGGUGUCCUGGGCUGGGGGAUAUGCCUAUGACCAGACGUAUUUUUGCUCCGGGAAAACACCCACGAAAGAACAGUUCUGUGGACAGUCUGCCCGUUCUUGUCCCUGGAGAGAAAGUGGCCGUCCUGUACCCCUCCCCUCACACCAAACAGCGACUGCACGAAUGGUUACCAAGGAGCAAGUACAAUCCCCCCCGCCCCGCUUUUUUUUUGGCCGCACCUGAGGCAUGUGGACAUUCUUAGGCCAGGGGUUGAACCUGAGCCACAGCAGUGACUGAAUCCUUAACUGCUAGGCCACCAGGGAACUCCAACUGACUACUAGCGGAGAUGCUGGGGUCAUUGCUGGGUACAACACAGAAAAAUUCCUGCCCUGGGAGCCUGUCUUCUAGCAGAAGGAAAAUAGAGGCAAAUUAUCACCAUAAUUAAUAAGUAUAUUACAUUGUGUCUUAGAAGGAGAGAGGCCUGUGGGAAGAACACAGGAAUCUAAAGAGGAGCUGAAGUGUAGGAGCAGAGGUUUAAUUUAAAAUAAGACUCCCUAGGAGUUCCCUUUGUGGCUCAGGGGUUAACGAACCCAACUAGGAUCCAUGAGGAUGAGGGUUCGAUCCCUGGCCUUGCUCAGUGGGUUAAGGAGCCAGCGUAGCCUGAGCUGUGGUGUAGGUCACAGACGCGGCUCAGAUUCUGCAUUGCUGUGGCUGUGGCGUAGGCUGGUGGCUACAGCUCCAAUUCGACCCCUAGCCUGGAAAUCUCCAUAUGCCAAAGGAGUGGCCCUAGAAAAGGCAAAAAGACCCCCAAAAAAAUUUUUUUUUAAUAACAAUAAAAUAAAAUCAGCCUUCCUAGCUUGAUGGAAUGGGAGGGGGUGAGACGUGGACAGAUGAGACCUGGGCAGCUUUCCGGAAGAGGGACACAGACACAGUCAGUGCAAAGGCCCUGAGGUGCCUGUGUGUCUGGCACAGCUGAGGCUGAGCCUGGGGUCCAGGGAAGAUGCAGAGGGAUGAAAAGGGGCCGUGGAGGUGCUCGGAAGAGGCCGUCUUCUAGACAUGUGGUUGGAAGGUUUAAAGGCGGGAUAUGAGAGGAGCCAAGGAGGACUCCUGGGGACUGGGGAAGUGGGAUGGCAGAGACGUCAGGACGAAGCUGGAGCACUGAGAAGAGGCCAGCUGUUCCCUCCUCUGCUGCGCCUGGCCCCGUGGACCUUCACUCAGUGGUCUGUGUGGCACGCCUGUGCCCGAGUGGGAGGGACAAAGACAUGAGGCAGGAUGACAAAAUUACUCUAUGAUAUAUCAGGAUAUGAAAGCCAGAGCCUCCUUUAAUUUUCACAAAGAAAAAUACACAAUUUUGGAGUUCCCGCUGUGACCCAGUAGGCUAAGAAUCUGACCGCAACGGCUCAAGUGGCUGUGGAGGUGCAGGUUCGAUCCCCAGACCGGCACGGUGGGUUAAAAGGAUCCAGCGUUACAGCAGCUGUGGCUCGGAUUCAAGCCCUGGUCCAGGAACUCCCAUAGGCCCUGGGUGUGGCCAUGACAUUCUUUUACAAAGAAAAAUACAAAAUUUUAAUACUGUUUUCUUUUGAGAUAAUUCCGGCUUUCCAGGAGUCAGGGCCGAGUUUCCACACCCCACCCAACUUCCCCUGCUUAUAAGGCCUGGCAUGACCACAGUACCCUGGGUGUCUCGGAAAACAAGACACUAACUUUGGUGCAAUGCUACUAACUAGACUGCAGGCUUUACCCACAGUUCCCGAGUGUGCCCUCACUGCUGUUUUUGUGAUACAGGACCCCUCCCUGUGUUUUGCGGUCCUACCUCCCUACUCUCUUCCAGUCUUGGUCUCCUUGGCAAUUGCCUGGCACCUGCUUCACUCCUCCGCGGGCCCAGGUCUGGGCAGGAGUCUGGGGCCCGGGGGGAGCUCUGGCCACCCGCCCAGGGAGCCAGACCCAGAGCGGAGCUGUGGAAGCUGAGUCUCUGCCUGAUCUGGGCCACCGCCCUGGUGCCCAGCUCCCUGCAGCUCUUAGCCCAGGAAUUGCCCAUCCCCGGUCACCAUGGCCACUUCUGAUCAACAGAACUGGGUCCGGGAGGCUUGUCUGGCCCGUUUCCCCAACAACACAGAGCGGGGCGGGGGGGGGUGGUUCCUGAACUCCAUCAGGAUCCAAGCACUGGCUGAAAUUUGCUCUGAGGCUGAAGGACACUGCAGCCGGUCAGGAGAAGCCCGUCUGUCCCUACUUGCCCCCCCCCCCAGCCCCCUUUACCUGCUUUCACCCUAACUACUGACCCAGAGUCCGCAGUGUGCCACCAGAGAGUGACCCGGGAUGGCUGGGUUUUGACGCUAAGACCACAGCUCUCAGAUCCUUGCCAGGGGACCCUAAAUCAGUCACGGCCUUCUUUAGGACUCGUUAUGAGCAUGCGUGACCCAGGGCCCCUUCCAGGGCUGGCAGCCACUGUUAAGUCAGGAAGAGGCGGAUGGCCUGGUUACCAUGGCAACCAAAGUUUGCUUUCAGGGCAGCUGGUGUUCAGAUCUUUGGACUCAGAGAUGCGUGAUGUUAUGACGGUGGAGGCUCCAGGCGCAUUCAGAUAAAUCUCUCCUGCACUUCGCUGCUAGAGGGAGGCACACGGGUGCCAGGUUCAAAACUCAAAGACAGGCCGAGUCUUUUCAGGGGCCAGAAGAUGCUAUUACAGCCCUGGUCUGGGCAUGAGGCUCCUCAGAGGACAGGAACACAUGCUUUACAACUGCCACCAAAGCCAUUUGUGUCACUGUCCACUGCUCCGCUAGUGAGGGUGGCUCGUUGGUGGUGAGGGAUGGCCAGGACCCAAGAUACCUGCGCUCAGCAUUAGGACAGGUGUGGGCGGGGGGUGGGCUCUGCACGAGACCGCCUGAGGCUCCAGCACUGAUCAGCUGUGUGACUGGGGGCAAGUAUCUUGGGCUCUCUGAGCUCAGUGCCCUGUCCAUCAAAUGGGGGAACCACAGAAUCUAUUCCACGAUGCUGCCAAGGGUUAAACCAUCAGAACCUCCGAGUGCCCAGGACACCACCCUCUCAGUAAAUGACAGCGCUCAAGUCCUUUCCAGGGGACCCCAGAGCUGUCACUUUGCCUUCUUUAGGACUCUGAUGUGAGCAUGCGUGACCCAGGGCCCCUGCCAGUGCUGACUCUGCACCUCCCGGGUUUGGCAUGCACUCGCCCUGGCUGUCACACGUGUUCGCCAGUAGAGGGCCACGCAGACUGUUCUCCAAGCAGCAGGAUGCCAUUGGCGCUGAGAGGGCAGAUGGGCUGGGGCUGGAGAAGCCAUUGCUUAAUUUAAGAUUUCAUUUCAAUACCAAACGCAGGAUUCUUUUUAAAAACCAGGUUGCUGUUUUCCCCACGAUAGCGGUAGGCUAAGUACCCGGGGGUGGGGGGAGGGGAGCAUUUGGGAGACGACCCUGGGUCUGGUUUCCCUGCCUCACCCCCGGGUGUGCCGAGUCCCACAUGUCCUGAGUUUUCCAAACCUGGUGCCUUAGCCUCUGCUUUUAGAGACCUCACUUCCUGUUCCUCUUUUAAAGCCCAGCUCUGGGAGUUCCUGCUGCAGUGGUAACGAACCCAACUAGUAUCCAUGAGGAUGAGCGUUCGAUCCCUGGCCUCGCUCAGUGGGUUAAGGAUCCGGCGUAACCGUGCGCUGUGGUGUAGAUGGCAGACGUGGCUUGGAUCCGAGUGGCUGUGGCUGUGGCGUAGGCCAGCAGCUGCAUCUCCGAUUCAACCCCUAGCCUAGGAACCUCCAUAGGCUGCAGGUGCGGCCCUAAAAGAAAUAAUAAUAAU